AAAGAAAGAGGGAGGCAGGACGAACACAUGCAAGUCGAACGAGACCUUCGGGUCUAGUGGCGCACGGGUGCGUAACGCGUGGGAACCUGCCCUUAGGUUCGGAAUAACUCCCCGAAAGGGGUGCUAAUACCGGAUAAUGUCUUCGGACCAAAGAUUUAUCGCCUUUGGAUGGGCCCGCGUUGGAUUAGCUAGUUGGUAGGGUAAAAGCCUACCAAGGCGACGAUCCAUAGCUGGUCUGAGAGGAUGAUCAGCCACACUGGGACUGAGACACGGCCCAGACUCCUACGGGAGGCAGCAGUGGGGAAUAUUGGACAAUGGGCGAAAGCCUGAUCCAGCAAUGCCGCGUGAGUGAUGAAGGCCUUAGGGUUGUAAAGCUCUUUUACCCGGGAUGAUAAUGACAGUACCGGGAGAAUAAGCUCCGGCUAACUCCGUG
Molecule: ribosomal RNA, 433 nt
Filed under: uncultured bacterium
Lineage: Bacteria
Description: partial 16S ribosomal RNA
Rfam family: Bacterial small subunit ribosomal RNA
Source: RNAcentral